This 1181-nucleotide small RNA is filed under the name Pan troglodytes (chimpanzee). RNAcentral describes it as "retained intron". The record is from RNAcentral. Lineage: Eukaryota; Metazoa; Chordata; Mammalia; Primates; Hominidae.
GGGUGGGGGGGAAAGAUGGCGGAGCUGAUGCUCCUCAGCGAGAUUGCUGACCCGACGCGUUUCUUCACCGACAACCUGCUUAGCCCGGAGGACUGGGGUCUGCAGAACAGCACCUUGUAUUCUGGCCUAGAUGAAGUGGCCGAGGAGCAGACGCAGCUCUUUCGUUGCCCGGAGCAGGAUGUCCCGUUUGAGGGCAGCUCCCUGGACGUGGGGAUGGAUGUCAGCCCCCCUGAGCCCCCAUGGGAACUCCUGCCAAUCUUCCCAGAUCUUCAGGUGAAGUCUGAGCCGUCUUCCCCCUGCUCUUCCUCCUCCCUCAGCUCCGAGUCAUCGCGUCUCUCCACAGAGCCAUCCAGCGAGGCUCUUGGGGUAGGGGAGGUGCUCCAUGUGAAGACAGAGUCCUUGGCACCCCCACUGUGUCUCCUGGGAGAUGACCCAACAUCCUCAUUUGAAACCGUCCAGAUCAACGUUAUCCCCACCUCUGAUGAUUCCUCAGAUGUCCAGACCAAGAUAGAACCUGUCUCUCCAUGUUCUUCCGUCAACUCUGAGGCCUCCCUGCUCUCAGCCGACUCCUCCAGCCAGGCUUUUAUAGGAGAGGAGGUCCUGGAAGUGAAGACAGAGUCCCUCUCCCCUUCAGGAUGCCUCCUUUGGGAUGUCCCAGCCCCCUCACUUGGAGCUGUCCAGAUCAGCAUGGGCCCAUCCCUUGAUGGCUCCUCAGGGAAAGCCCUGCCCACCCGGAAGCCACCACUGCAGCCCAAACCUGUAGUGCUAACCACUGUCCCAAUGCCACCCAGAGCUGUGCCUCCCAGCACCACCGUCCUUCUGCAGCCCCUCGUCCAGCCACCCCCAGGUACUGAAGAAGGAGAAAAGGGCCGGGCAUGGUGGCUCACGCCGGUAAUCCCAGCACUUUGGGAGGCUGAGGCGGGCGGAUCACCUGAGGUCAGAAGUUUAAGACCAGCCUGGCCAACGUGGUGAAACCUUGUCUCUACUAAAAAUACAAAAAUUAGCGUGGAGUGGUGGCAGGCGCCUGUAAUCCCAGCUCCUCGGGAGGCUGAGGCAGGAGAAUCACUUGAACCCAGGAGGCGGAGGUUGCAGUGAGCCGAGAUCAUGCCACUGCACUCCAGCCUGGGCGACAAAGCGAGACUUUGUCUCAAAAAAAAAAAAAAAAAAAGAAAAAAGAAAAA